AGAAAUCUUUCAUCGUAAAUUGUAUAGCUGUAAUAAUUUCGAAGAAAUUCUUAUUCUUCAUCAGGAUCAGAUCAGAAAGUAAGCAGAAGACGGACACACGGAUGGAUGGUGAAGGCGAUAAUGAUUAUAAUGACUCAAGGGAUUGACACUUUAUGACUUUUUGUGUGGGAAAAUCAGGUGCAUUUUUGUUGCUGUCCUGCGCUGUCCCUUACCGUUUUAUUAUUCCAUAUUCGCUCCUUGGGCAAUAUUGUUGAUGUCUUAAUAAUGCUUCCUUCUUCCUGGAUAAUCACUUUCUCUUCUCGAUUUUUAUUAUUUACCCAAAAAUGAAAUUUUCUUGUUGUUGUUUUUGAUGUGCUUGGAUGGACGACACAGAGCAUUGAUAUUGGGGACACGUUUUCUCGUUUUCUCUUCUUUACCUUGCGAAGUAAAGGUACGUGGUAAAAUAGAAAGUACUGUGCGAGAAGAAGAAGCAAAACGUGAAAAUUGUUGUUCAUGAAGUGAACUUUGAGCAAAAGGAUAACAAUUUUUACUUCAAGGUGAAGUCAAGUUGACGGAAUACUAAUCACGUGAAUGGUUGAGUACACUUUGGCCUUGAGAUUUUAUUGCUUUAUGCUUGACUAUGACAGGUAGCUCUACGUUUAUAUCCCUUGAAGCCGUUUUGAGAUCUUCUUUAGCAGAUUGGAGAGAAUAUUAUAUAUCUUCUGUAUAUAUUUUCAUUUAU
Episyrphus balteatus (marmalade hoverfly) is the source of this 721-nucleotide long non-coding RNA. RefSeq lists it as uncharacterized. The record is from RefSeq and is a predicted model, not a curated record. The transcript has 3 exons. Lineage: Eukaryota; Metazoa; Arthropoda; Insecta; Diptera; Syrphidae.